This 251-nucleotide ribosomal RNA is filed under the name uncultured bacterium. Its description in RNAcentral is "partial 16S ribosomal RNA". It matches the Rfam family "Bacterial small subunit ribosomal RNA", at positions 524 to 774 of the family's 1533-position model. The record is from RNAcentral.
UACGUAGGGAGCAAGCGUUAUCCGGAUUUAUUGGGUGUAAAGGGUGCGUAGACGGGAAUUUAAGUUAGUUGUGAAAUCCCUCGGCUUAACUGAGGAACUGCAACUAAAACUGAAUUUCUUGAGUGCGGGAGAGGAAAGUGGAAUUCCUAGUGUAGCGGUGAAAUGCGUAGAUAUUAGGAGGAACACCAGUGGCGAAGGCGACUUUCUGGACCGUAACUGACGUUGAGGCACGAAAGUGUGGGGAGCAAACA